Molecule: ribosomal RNA, 889 nt
Filed under: uncultured haloarchaeon
Lineage: Archaea; Methanobacteriati; Methanobacteriota; Halobacteria; Halobacteriales; Halobacteriaceae
Description: bacterial SSU rRNA
Rfam family: Archaeal small subunit ribosomal RNA
Source: RNAcentral
UUCCGGUUGAYYCUWCGGAGGCCAUUGCUAUCGGAGUCCGAUUUAGCCAUGCUAGUCGCGAGUUCACACUCGCGGCAAUAGCUCAGUAACACGUGGCCAAACUACCCUACAGAGACGCACAACCUCGGGAAACUGAGGCUAAUUCGUCAUACCCCUCUCACGCUGGAAUGCCGAGAGGCACAAACGCUCCCGCGCUGUAGGAUGUGGCUGCGGCCGAUUAGGUAGACGGUGGGGUAACGGCCCACCGUGCCCAUAAUCGGUACGGGUUGUGAGAGCAAGAGCCCGGAGACGGAAUCUGAGACAAGAUUCCGGGCCCUACGGGGCAGCAGGCGCGAAACCUUUACACUGCACGCACGUCGAAUAAGGGGACUCCGAGUGCGAGGGCAUAUCGUCCUCGCUUUUGUGUACCGUAGGCGGCACACGAACAAGAGCUGGGCAAGACCGGUGCCAGCCGCCGCGGUAAUACCGGCAGCUCAAGUGAUGGCCAAUCUUAUUGGGCCUAAAGCGUCCGUAGCUGGCCUCGAAAGUCCGUCGGGAAAUCCACACGCCCAACGUGUGGGCGUCCGGCGGAAACUUCGAGGCUUGGGACCGGAAGGCUCGAGAGGUACGUCCGGGGUAGGAGUGAAAUCCUGUAAUCCCGGACGGACCACCGAUGGCGAAAGCAUCUCGAGAAGACGGAUCCGACAGUGAGGGACGAAAGCUAGGGUCUCGAACCGGAUUAGAUACCCGGGUAGUCCUAGCCGUAAACGAUGUUCGCUAGGUGKUVGMCRWUGACGCGCCUGUGCUGUGCCGUAGGGAAGCCGAGAAWGAACCGCCUGGGAAGUACGUCUGCAAGGAUGAAACUUAAAGAAUUGGCGGGGAGCACUACAACCGAGAGCKCGHUUGGVCU